CCUACGGGAGGCAGCAGUGGGGAAUUUUGGACAAUGGGCGCAAGCCUGAUCCAGCAAUGCCGCGUGAGUGAAGAAGGCCUUCGGGUUGUAAAGCUCUUUUGUCAGGGAAGAAACGGCAGUUUCUAAUACAGAUUGCUAAUGACGGUACCUGAAGAAUAAGCACCGGCUAACUACGUGCCAGCAGCCGCGGUAAUACGUAGGGUGCAAGCGUUAAUCGGAAUUACUGGGCGUAAAGCGUGCGCAGGCGGUUUUGUAAGUUUGUCGUGAAAUCCCCGGGCUCAACCUGGGAAUGGCGAUGAAGACUGCAAGGCUAGAAUCUGGCAGAGGGGGGUAGAAUUCCACGUGUAGCAGUGAAAUGCGUAGAGAUGUGGAGGAACACCGAUGGCGAAGGCAGCCCCCUGGGUCAAGAUUGACGCUCAUGCACGAAAGCGUGGGGAGCAAACAGGAUUAGAUACCCUGGUAGUCCACGCCCUAAACGAUGUCUACUAGUUGUCGGGUUUUAAUUAACUUGGUAACGCAGCUAACGCGUGAAGUAGACCGCCUGGGGAGUACGGUCGCAAGAUUAAAACUCAAAGAAAUUGACGG
Molecule: ribosomal RNA, 585 nt
Filed under: uncultured bacterium
Lineage: Bacteria
Description: bacterial SSU rRNA
Rfam family: Bacterial small subunit ribosomal RNA
Source: RNAcentral